This 535-nucleotide ribosomal RNA is filed under the name uncultured Acidobacteriota bacterium. RNAcentral's name for it is "bacterial SSU rRNA". It matches the Rfam family "Bacterial small subunit ribosomal RNA", at positions 8 to 522 of the family's 1533-position model. The record is from RNAcentral. Lineage: Bacteria; Pseudomonadati; Acidobacteriota.
AGAGUUUGAUCCUGGCUCAGAAUCAACGCUGGCGGCGUGCCUUAACACAUGCAAGUCGAACGCGAAAGUCCCGCAAGGGAUCAGUAGAGUGGCAAACGGGUGAGUAACGCGUGGGCGACCUACCUUCGAGUGGGGGAUAACCUUCCGAAAGGAGGGCUAAUACCGCAUGACAUUCCGUGUUUGGACACACGGGUAUCAAAGCCGGGGAUCGCAAGACCUGGCGCUUGAAGAGGGGCCCGCGUCCGAUUAGCUAGUUGGUGGGGUAACGGCUCACCAAGGCUCCGAUCGGUAUCCGGCCUGAGAGGGCGGACGGACACACUGGGACUGAGACACGGCCCAGACUCCUACGGGAGGCAGCAGUGGGGAAUUGUUCGCAAUGGGCGCAAGCCUGACGACGCAACGCCGCGUGGAGGAUGAAGACCUUCGGGUCGUAAACUCCUUUCGACCGAGAUGAAUUUCCGCCGACCUAACACGUCGGCGGGGUGACAGUAUCGAGGAAGCAGCCCCGGCUAACUCCGUGCCAGCAGCCGCGGUA